Chenopodium quinoa (quinoa) is the source of this 704-nucleotide long non-coding RNA. RefSeq lists it as uncharacterized. The record is from RefSeq and is a predicted model, not a curated record. The transcript has 4 exons. Lineage: Eukaryota; Viridiplantae; Streptophyta; Magnoliopsida; Caryophyllales; Amaranthaceae.
ACCAUACCCAUUUUUCUCUCUACUGUCUCUUUCUCUCUCUAGUUCAUCUGAAACCUCCAUAAACAUUCUGAGAAAGCUUGGAGAUCAAAAAUUUCAUGCGUAAUCAUGGAUAUUAGAGAAGAAAUUGCUGAUGCUACCGUAGGUUCUGGAAAUCAUCGUAAAAAAAUAAGGGGAACAAGAAUUACAUCAUCAAUGCCGGAAUUAAGAAACAACAACAACAAGAGUUUAGCAUCUGAGCUAACUAGCCUGAUUUUCUAGUUGAUUCAAAAAAUAAAAACCCUAACUAUUUUUUUUUUUUUGAAUCUUUCAGAAUGAGAAAAGCUAGUUCAGAGCAGGAUAUUGAAAGCAAAGAUUCAGAUGAUGAAGAUGUUCCAAUUGCCAUCAAAUUGGCUAGAAAAAAAAGACAAACGCGAAAUCCUACUCUUAUAAUAGACCCAACACUUUUAAAUGAUAUCAAAAGAUCAGCCAAGUUGAUCAAUUGAGGAAGUUACGGGUCGUAUAUUGUGCACAACUGAUGCUUUUUGAGGGAGCCAAGUACCACCAAAUGAACAAAAUGGCAGCAAAAAGAAGACAAAGAGAAAGUGAUUAACUUCUAAAUGUUCAAAUGCAAAACAAUAUGUGUCUUUAUGUAAUAUACAAUAUGAUAUUUCUUCAAAAGAGUAUUUCAAAUUAUAUUGAAUGAUGAAUGUAUAUAAACAUAUGUU